GUGUUGGAAUAGAACCUAGUAGGCACGUUUUAGCGAAACCGAUGGUUCCUCUCCAUUAGGUACAGGACCAGUUAAGGUCCGGCAGCCUCGGAGCCCCUCGAGCUUGACCCCGGAAAUCUGUUUGAUUUUGUAAUGCGAACAACUCAUGUAGAGUUGUGACGUGCACAAUUUUGCCGAGAGUAGAGAGGCCCAACGGACUUCACAUCUACUAAGCCCGUUAUAAUAUUUUUGCAAAAAGUGAUUGUGUGUUGGAAUAGAACCUAGUAGGCACGUUUUAGCGAAACCGAUGGGUCCUUUCCAUUAGAUACAGGACCAAUUAAGAUCCGGCACCUCAGGGCCCUCGAGCUUGACCCCGGAAAUCCAUUUGAUUUUGUAACGCUAACAACUCAUGUAGAGUUGUGACGUGCUCAAUUUUGCCGAGUAGAGAGGCCCAACGGACUUCACAUCUACUAAGCACAUUAUCAACAUCCAAUCACUUUAAUGCCCCACUUGGUUACAAGCCCACGUUACAAGGCUCGGC
RNAcentral lists this long non-coding RNA (520 nucleotides) under Nicotiana tabacum (common tobacco). RNAcentral's name for it is "long non-coding RNA (NTAB_LNC000392)". The record is from RNAcentral. Lineage: Eukaryota; Viridiplantae; Streptophyta; Magnoliopsida; Solanales; Solanaceae.